This 481-nucleotide ribosomal RNA is filed under the name uncultured soil bacterium. RNAcentral describes it as "bacterial SSU rRNA". It matches the Rfam family "Bacterial small subunit ribosomal RNA", at positions 26 to 518 of the family's 1533-position model. The record is from RNAcentral.
AGGACGAACGCUGGCGGCGUGCUUAACACAUGCAAGUCGAGCGGAAAGGCCACUUCGGUGGUACUCGAGCGGCGAACGGGUGAGUAACACGUGAGUAAUCUGCCCUUGGCUUUGGGAUAGCCACCGGAAACGGUGAUUAAUACCGGAUACGACCGCUCCUCGCAUGAGGUGGUGGUGGAAAGUUUUUCGGCCAGGGAUGUGCUCGCGGCCUAUCAGCUUGAUGGUGAGGUAAUGGCUCACCAUGGCUUCGACGGGUAGCCGGCCUGAGAGGGUGACCGGUCACACUGGGACUGAGACACGGCCCAGACUCCUACGGGAGGCAGCAGUGGGAAUAUGGACAAUGGGCGAAGCCUGAUCCAGCAACGCCGCGUGAGGAUGACGGCCUGGUGUAACUCUUCGGUAGGACGAAGUUUGUCUUUUGGUCGAAAGUGACGUACCUACUAAAGAAGACAACCGGCCAACUACGUACGCCAGUAGCCGC